This 520-nucleotide ribosomal RNA is filed under the name uncultured Glomus. RNAcentral describes it as "SSU rRNA". It matches the Rfam family "Eukaryotic small subunit ribosomal RNA", at positions 569 to 1091 of the family's 1831-position model. Lineage: Eukaryota; Fungi; Glomeromycota; Glomeromycetes; Glomerales; Glomeraceae. The record is from RNAcentral.
AGCAGCCGCGGUAAUUCCAGCUCCAAUAGCGUAUAUUAAAGUUGCUGCAGUUAAAAAGCUCGUAGUUGAAUUUCGGGACUAAUAUGUUGGUCGUGCCUCGGUACGUACUGAUAUUUUUGGUUUCUCCCUUCUGACGAACCUUGAUGUCAUUAAUUUGGUGUCUUGGGAAAUCAGGACUGUUACUUUGAAAAAAUUAGAGUGUUUAAAAGCAGGCUCACGCUUGAAUACAUUAGCAUGGAAUAAUGAAAUAGGACGUUUGAUUCUAUUUUGUGGUUUCUAGGAUUGACGUAAUGAUUAAUAGGGAUAGUUGGGGGCAUUAGUAUUCAAUUGUCAGAGGUGAAAUUCUUGGAUUUAUUGAAGACUAACUACUGCGAAAGCAUUUGCCAAGGAUGUUUUCAUUAAUCUAAGAACGAAAGUUAGGGGAUCGAAGACGAUCAGAUACCGUCGUAGUCUUAACCAUAAACUAUGCCGACUAGGGAUCGGAUGAUGUUAAUUUUUAAUGACUCAUUCGGCGCCUUAC